CCUACGGGAGGCAGCAGUGGGGGAUAAUGCACAAUGGGGGAAACCCUGAUGCAGCGACGCCGCGUGGGGGAAGACGGUCCUCUGGAUUGUAAACCACUGUCGCCAGGGACGAAGAUGACGGUACCUGGGGAGGAAGCGCCGGCCAACUACGUGCAAGCAGCCGCGGUAAGACGUAGGGAGCGAGCGUUGCCCGGAAGUACUGGGUGUAAAGGGAGGGGAGGGGGGACGGCAAGGUGGGUGUCAAAUCUACCGGCCCAACCGGUAACCGCACUCCAAACUGCCGUUCUGGAGUGAAGUAGAGGCAGGCGGAAUUCCUGGUGUAGCGGUGAAAUGCGUAGAUAUUAGGAGGAACACCCGUGGCGAAGGCGGCCUGCUGGGCUUUUACUGACGCUGAGGCUCGAAAGUGUGGGGAGCAAACAGGAUUAGCUCCCCUUGUAGUC
RNAcentral lists this ribosomal RNA (440 nucleotides) under uncultured bacterium. Its description in RNAcentral is "partial 16S ribosomal RNA". It matches the Rfam family "Bacterial small subunit ribosomal RNA", at positions 338 to 795 of the family's 1533-position model. The record is from RNAcentral.